GAUGAACGCUGGCGGCGUGCCUAAUACAUGCAAGUCGAGCGAACGGACGAGAAGCUUGCUUCUCUGAUGUUAGCGGCGGACGGGUGAGUAACACGUGGAUAACCUACCUAUAAGACUGGGAUAACUUCGGGAAACCGGAGCUAAUACCGGAUGAUAUUUUGAACCGCAUGGUUCAAAAGUGAAAGACGGUCUUGCUGUCACUUAUAGAUGGAUCCGCGCUGCAUUAGCUAGUUGGUAAGGUAACGGCUUACCAAGGCAACGAUGCAUAGCCGACCUGAGAGGAUGAUCGGCCACACUGGAACUGAGACACGGUCCAGACUCCUACGGGAGGCAGCAGUAGGGAAUCUUCCGCAAUGGGCGAAAGCCUGACGGAGCAACGCCACGUGAGUGAUGAAGGUCUUCGGAUCGUAAAACUCUGUUAUUAGGGAAGAACAUAUGUGUAAGUAACUGUGCACAUCUUGACGGUACCUAAUCAGAAAGCCACGGCUAACUACGUG
This 497-nucleotide ribosomal RNA is filed under the name uncultured bacterium. RNAcentral describes it as "partial 16S ribosomal RNA". It matches the Rfam family "Bacterial small subunit ribosomal RNA", at positions 28 to 507 of the family's 1533-position model. The record is from RNAcentral.